UAAUAAAGAAGAAGAAAAGGAAAUACAAAACUAUUUUCAGGAAGAAAUUGCUUAUUCUGAUUAUUAUUAUGGUUAUGAACUAGAAUUAGAAAAUAAUGAGAAUAAUCCACCACCACCCAAACCA
Molecule: non-coding RNA, 124 nt
Filed under: Fragilariopsis kerguelensis
Lineage: Eukaryota; Bacillariophyta; Bacillariophyceae; Bacillariales; Bacillariaceae
Source: RNAcentral